Molecule: ribosomal RNA, 378 nt
Filed under: uncultured bacterium
Lineage: Bacteria
Description: bacterial SSU rRNA
Rfam family: Bacterial small subunit ribosomal RNA
Source: RNAcentral
CGACGUAGGGCGCAAGCGUUGUCCGGAUUUAUUGGGCGUAAAGAGCUCGUAGGCGGCCUGUCGCGUCAACCGUGAAAUCCCGCGGCUUAACUGUGGGCGUGCGGUUGAUACGGGUGGGCUGGAGUUCGGUAGGGGAGACUGGAAUUCCUGGUGUAGCGGUGAAAUGCGCAGAUAUCAGGAGGAACACCGGUGGCGAAGGCGGGUCUCUGGGCCGAUACUGACGCUGAGGAGCGAAAGCGUGGGGAGCGAACAGGAUUAGAUGCCCUGGUAGUCCACGCUGUAAACGUUGGGCGCUAGGUGUGGGGGGCCUUCCCGGUUUCCUGUGCCGUAGCUAACGCAUUAAGCGCCCCGCCUGGGGAGUACGGCCGCAAGGCUAAA